AACGAACGCUGGCGGCAUGCCUCAUACAUGCAAGUCGAACGAGAAAGCACCUUCGGGUGUGAUUAAAGUGGCAAACGGGUGCGUAACACGUGGGAAUCUACCUAUUGGUUCGGAAUAGCCCCGGGAAACUGGGAUUAAUACCGGAUAAAGACUACGGUCGAAAGAUUUAUCGCCGAUAGAUGAGCCCGCGUUAGAUUAGCUAGUUGGUAAGGUAAGAGCUUACCAAGGCUACGAUCUAUAGCUGGUCUGAGAGGAUGAUCAGCCACACUGGGACUGAGAUACGGCCCAG
RNAcentral lists this ribosomal RNA (289 nucleotides) under uncultured bacterium. RNAcentral describes it as "partial 16S ribosomal RNA". It matches the Rfam family "Bacterial small subunit ribosomal RNA", at positions 29 to 334 of the family's 1533-position model. The record is from RNAcentral.